AGUGAACGCUGGCGGUAGGCCUAACACAUGCAAGUCGAACGGCAGCACAGUAAGAGCUUGCUCUUACGGGUGGCGAGUGGCGGACGGGUGAGGAAUACAUCGGAAUCUACUUUUUCGUGGGGGAUAACGUAGGGAAACUUACGCUAAUACCGCAUACGACCUACGGGUGAAAGCAGGGGAUCUUCGACCCUUCCGCGUUUGAAUGAGCCGAUGUCGGAUUAGCUAGUUGGCGGGGUAAAGGCCCACCAAGGCGACGAUCCGUAGCUGGUCUGAGAGGAUGAUCAGCCACACUGGAACUGAGACACGGUCCAGACUCCUACGGGAGGCAGCAGUGGGGAAUAUUGGACAAUGGGCGCAAGCCUGAUCCAGCCAUACCGCGUGGGUGAAGAAGGCCUUCGGGUUGUAAAGCCCUUUUGUUGGGAAAGAAAAGCAGCAGGUUAAUACCCCGCUGUUCUGACGGUACCCAAAGAAUAAGCACCGGCUAACUUCGUG
This 492-nucleotide ribosomal RNA is filed under the name uncultured bacterium. Its description in RNAcentral is "partial 16S ribosomal RNA". It matches the Rfam family "Bacterial small subunit ribosomal RNA", at positions 29 to 507 of the family's 1533-position model. The record is from RNAcentral.